AGAGUUUGAUCCUGGCUCAGGACGAACGCUGGCGGCGUGCUUAACACAUGCAAGUCGAACGAUGAAGUGGAGCUUGCUCCACGGAUUAGUGGCGAACGGGUGAGGAACACGUGAGAAGCCUGCCUCGGAUUUUGGGAUAACAAAUGGAAACGUUUGCUAAUACCAAAUAACGUCGGAGAGUCACAUGACUUUCUGACGAAAGGAAUUCCGAUUCGAGAGGGUCUCGCGGCCUAUCAGCUUGUUGGCGGGGUAACGGCCCACCAAGGCAACGACGGGUAGCUGGUCUGAGAGGAUGGUCAGCCACACUGGGACUGAGACACGGCCCAGACUCCUACGGGAGGCAGCAGUGGGGAAUCUUGCGCAAUGGGCGAAAGCCUGACGCAGCAACGCCGCGUGCGGGAAGAAGGCUUUCGGGCUGUAAACCGCUUUCAGCAGGAACGAAAAUGACGGUACCUGCAGAAGAAGGAGCGGCCAACUAUGUGCCAGCAGCCGCGGUGAUACAUAGGCUUCAAGCGUUGUCCGGAUUUAUUGGGCGUAAAGAGUUCGUAGGCGGUCGAGUAAGUCGGGUGUGAAAAUUCUGGGCUCAACCCAGAGACGCCACCCGAUACUGCUUAACUUGAGUUCGAUAGGGGAGUGGGGAAUUCCUAGUGUAGCGGUGAAAUGCGCAGAUAUUAGGAGGAACACCGGUGGCGAAGGCGCCACUCUGGAUCGACACUGACGCUGAGGAACGAAAGCAUGGGUAGCAAACAGGAUUAGAUACCCUGGUAGUCCACGCCCUAAACGAUGUCAACUGGUUGUUGGGUGCAUUAGUAC
RNAcentral lists this ribosomal RNA (813 nucleotides) under uncultured bacterium. RNAcentral's name for it is "bacterial SSU rRNA". It matches the Rfam family "Bacterial small subunit ribosomal RNA", at positions 8 to 839 of the family's 1533-position model. The record is from RNAcentral.